CUGCUCAGGUAUCGGAAACUUGGCUGACAGCAAAGCAACGGCAGUAUAUUCAGUCCACUGGAAGGUGAGGAGGUGAAGCAGAACAGCUGUUCCCUGUCACAGCUCCCGCAUCUCCAACAUGAUUCACAGCCACAGAUGGGAGGAUAAAAGGAAAUGAGCCAGCUUUGGGAGCUGCUCUGGCCCCAACUUAAGGAAAUGACGAUAAAGAAGGGAGAGGGGAACAUUUCCCAGCCAGCUUUACCAGUGACCUAUCCACUGGAUGACACGGCUUUUCAUUGCUUUUGGAGCACCUCAUGAUAGAAAUCAGUAUAUGUGAAAGAAGAAUCAGACAGGACAUUUGAAUCCAAGAGGAAAUAUUGAGCUGUUGUAAAUAGACAGCAAACGAAGAGAUCCACUGAAGAACCAUGCCUAUUUA
Molecule: long non-coding RNA, 415 nt
Organism: Mauremys mutica (yellowpond turtle)
Lineage: Eukaryota; Metazoa; Chordata; Testudines; Geoemydidae
Exons: 3
Source: RefSeq, a predicted model, not a curated record